Molecule: ribosomal RNA, 1067 nt
Filed under: Halomonas campaniensis
Lineage: Bacteria; Pseudomonadati; Pseudomonadota; Gammaproteobacteria; Oceanospirillales; Halomonadaceae
Description: bacterial SSU rRNA
Rfam family: Bacterial small subunit ribosomal RNA
Source: RNAcentral
AUGCAGUCGAGCGGUAACAGGGGUAGCUUGCUACCCGCUGACGAGCGGCGGACGGGUGAGUAAUGCAUAGGAAUCUGCCCGAUAGUGGGGGAUAACCUGGGGAAACCCAGGCUAAUACCGCAUACGUCCUACGGGAGAAAGGGGGCUCCGGCUCCCGCUAUUGGAUGAGCCUAUGUCGGAUUAGCUAGUUGGUGAGGUAAUGGCUCACCAAGGCAACGAUCCGUAGCUGGUCUGAGAGGAUGAUCAGCCACAUCGGGACUGAGACACGGCCCGAACUCCUACGGGAGGCAGCAGUGGGGAAUAUUGGACAAUGGGCGAAAGCCUGAUCCAGCCAUGCCGCGUGUGUGAAGAAGGCCCUCGGGUUGUAAAGCACUUUCAGCGAGGAAGAACGCCUAGUGGUUAAUACCCAUUAGGAAAGACAUCACUCGCAGAAGAAGCACCGGCUAACUCCGUGCCAGCAGCCGCGGUAAUACGGAGGGUGCAAGCGUUAAUCGGAAUUACUGGGCGUAAAGCGCGCGUAGGUGGCUUGAUAAGCCGGUUGUGAAAGCCCCGGGCUCAACCUGGGAACGGCAUCCGGAACUGUCAAGCUAGAGUGCAGGAGAGGAAGGUAGAAUUCCCGGUGUAGCGGUGAAAUGCGUAGAGAUCGGGAGGAAUACCAGUGGCGAAGGCGGCCUUCUGGACUGACACUGACACUGAGGUGCGAAAGCGUGGGUAGCAAACAGGAUUAGAUACCCUGGUAGUCCACGCCGUAAACGAUGUCGACCAGCCGUUGGGUGCCUAGCGCACUUUGUGGCGAAGUUAACGCGAUAAGUCGACCGCCUGGGGAGUACGGCCGCAAGGUUAAAACUCAAAUGAAUUGACGGGGGCCCGCACAAGCGGUGGAGCAUGUGGUUUAAUUCGAUGCAACGCGAAGAACCUUACCUACUCUUGACAUCCUGCGAACUUGUGAGAGAUCACUUGGUGCCUUCGGGAACGCAGAGACAGGUGCUGCAUGGCUGUCGUCAGCUCGUGUUGUGAAAUGUUGGGUUAAGUCCCGUAACGAGCGCAACCCUUGUCCUUAUUUGCCA